CCUACGGGCGGCAGCAGUGAGGAAUAUUGGUCAAUGGGCUUACGCCUGAACCAGCCAAGUCGCGUGAGGGAAGACUGCCCUAUGGGUUGUAAACCUCUUUUGUCAGGGAGCAAUUGGCGCUACGUGUAGCGUUAUCGAGAGUACCUGAAGAAAAAGCAUCGGCUAACUCCGUGCCAGCAGCCGCGGUAAUACGGAGGAUGCGAGCUUUAUCCGGAUUUAUUGGGUUUAAGGGGUGCGUAGGCGGAAUGCCAAGUCAGCGGGAAAAUCGCGGGGCUCAACCUCGCUCCGCCGUUGAAACUGGCGUUCUUGAGUGGGCGAGAAGUAUGCGGAAUGCGUGGUGUAGCGGUGAAAUGCAUAGAUAUCACGCAGAACUCCGAUUGCGAAGGCAGCAUACCGGCGCCCAACUGACGCUGAAGCACGAAAGCGUGGGUAUCGAACAGGAUUAGAUACCCCAGUAGUC
Molecule: ribosomal RNA, 460 nt
Filed under: uncultured bacterium
Lineage: Bacteria
Description: partial 16S ribosomal RNA
Rfam family: Bacterial small subunit ribosomal RNA
Source: RNAcentral